GGUCGUAUGAUGCGAUGGGGGGACGGAUCGCGGAAGGUUGUCUGACUGUUGGAAUAGUCAGUUUCUGCUUCAUAGAAGGCGCUUAGGCAAAUCCGGGCGCGGAAUUCAAGGGAGUGGGACGAGUGCACUUGUGCACGAAGCAAUCGGAAGUGGUUCCAAGAAAAGCCUCUAAGCUUCAGUCAUACGAGACCGUACCGCAAACCGACACAGGUGGGCGAGAUGAGUAUUCUAAGGCGCUUGAGAGAACUCGGGAGAAGGAACUCGGCAAAUUGGUACCGUAACUUCGGGAAAAGGUACGCCCCGGUAGCUUGGUCACUUUACGGUGAUAGGGCGAAAGGGUUGCAAUAAACUGGUGGCUGCGACUGUUUAAUAAAAACACAGCACUCUGCAAACACGAAAGUGGACGUAUAGGGUGUGACGCCUGCCCGGUGCUGGAAGAUUAAAUGAUGGGGUGCAAGCUCUUGAUUGAAGUCCCAGUAAACGGCGGCUGUAACAAUAACGGUCCUAAGGUAGCGAAAUUCCUUGUCGGGUAAGUUCCGACCUGCACGAAUGGCGUAACGAUGGCCACACUGUCUCCUCCCGAGACUCAGCGAAGUUGAAGUGUUUGUGAUGAUGCAAUCUACCCGCGGCUAGACGGAAAGACCCCAUGAACCUUUACUGUAGCUUUGCAUUGGACUUUGAACCAAUCUGUGUAGGAUAGGUGGGAGGCUUUGAAGCGGUGACGCCAGUCAUCGUGGAGCCAACCUUGAAAUACCACCCUGGUUUGUUUGAGGUUCUAACCUUGGUCCGUAAUCCGGAUCGGGGACAGUGCAUGGUAGGCAGUUUGACUGGGGCGGUCUCCUCCUAAAGUGUAACGGAGGAGUUCGAAGGUACGCUAAUUACGGUCGGACAUCGUGAUGAUAGUGCAAUGGCAUAAGCGUGCUUAACUGCGAGACCGACAAGUCGAGCAGGUACGAAAGUAGGACAUAGUGAUCCGGUGGUUCUGUAUGGAAGGGCCAUCGCUCAACGGAUAAAAGGUACUCUGGGGAUAACAGGCUGAUUCCUCCCAAGAGUUCAUAUCGACGGGGGAGUUUGGCACCUCGAUGUCGGCUCAUCACAUCCUGGGGCUGUAGCCGGUCCCAAGGGUAUGGCUGUUCGCCAUUUAAAGUGGUACGUGAGCUGGGUUUAAAACGUCGUGAGACAGUUUGGUCCCUAUCUGCCGUGGGCGUUGGAAAUUUGAAGGGGGCUGCUCCUAGUACGAGAGGACCGGAGUGGACGAACCUCUGGUGUACCGGUUGUCACGCCAGUGGCAUUGCCGGGUAGCUAAGUUCGGAAGAGAUAACCGCUGAAAGCAUCUAAGCGGGAAACUUGCCUUGAGAUGAGAUUUCCCGGAGCUUUAAGCUCCUUGAAGGGUCGUUCGAGACCAGGACGUUGAUAGGCUGGGUGUGGAAGCCAA
RNAcentral lists this ribosomal RNA (1435 nucleotides) under metagenome. RNAcentral describes it as "bacterial LSU rRNA". It matches the Rfam family "Bacterial large subunit ribosomal RNA", at positions 1443 to 2877 of the family's 2925-position model. The record is from RNAcentral.